GGCGGUGUAGCUCAGUGGUAGGGCACAUGCUUUGCAUGUGUGAGGCCCCGGGUUCGAUCCCCGGCACCACCA
Molecule: transfer RNA, 72 nt
Filed under: Pan troglodytes (chimpanzee)
Lineage: Eukaryota; Metazoa; Chordata; Mammalia; Primates; Hominidae
Rfam family: tRNA
About the family: Transfer RNA (tRNA) molecules are approximately 80 nucleotides in length. Their secondary structure includes four short double-helical elements and three loops (D, anti-codon, and T loops). Further hydrogen bonds mediate the characteristic L-shaped molecular structure. tRNAs have two regions of fundamental functional importance: the anti-codon, which is responsible for specific mRNA codon recognition, and the 3' end, to which the tRNAs corresponding amino acid is attached (by aminoacyl-tRNA synthetases). tRNAs cope with the degeneracy of the genetic code in two manners: having more than one tRNA (with a specific anti-codon) for a particular amino acid; and 'wobble' base-pairing, i.e. permitting non-standard base-pairing at the 3rd anti-codon position.
Source: Rfam by way of RNAcentral